Long non-coding RNA from Cydia amplana, 542 nucleotides. RefSeq lists it as uncharacterized. The record is from RefSeq and is a predicted model, not a curated record. Lineage: Eukaryota; Metazoa; Arthropoda; Insecta; Lepidoptera; Tortricidae. The transcript is spliced from 2 exons.
AUGAAUAGAACAUAUUCUAGAUAUCUUGCCAGGCAUCCACUCAAUUUCAUGUCUCUCUAAUUGGACAGCUUUUUUCCAUAGUUCUCUGCGAAUAGCAUCUUGUGGGAAUCUGAAUGGAAAGUAAUGUAAAAUGACAAUACCAAAUUUGAUCAUUAAUUUGAAAUAACUAGGUAGUUUUUUUAUAGCUCCAUCUCAUGAAAUAAAAAAGGAAAAUACAAAUCUGUAAGAAGGAAUUUAUUACUACAUUUAUAAUUAUAUAGAAAAUACCUAAACCAAACAUAAGUUAAUAAAACAGUCUACUUCAUUUGGCAUAAAACCAUCCCUAUUAUCCUCUCAAUUUAAAAAGUCGUAUGUUGUUAUGAAAGUCGUAUGCAGUUGUUACGUUUUAGCUUAGCACGGUAGUAUUGAAAAAAUAUCGUCAUGUUUAUUCCAAAUUUUACUGAAGUUAUCUGUUUACUACAAGUGAAAAGUGAUUCCACUGUCCUUGAUAUGAACUAAAAUAACUUCUGCACCACUUCACGACACAUGAAGACAUUUUUAAU